This is a long non-coding RNA of Ictalurus punctatus (channel catfish), 381 nucleotides long. The record is from Ensembl. Lineage: Eukaryota; Metazoa; Chordata; Actinopteri; Siluriformes; Ictaluridae.
UGGUUAGUUACGUGCUCACGGAAGAGGUGGGUCUUUAGCAGUUUCUAGAAGAUAGUGACAGAUUCUGCUGAAGUUGGAAGUUCAUUCCACCACUGAGUGACAGUUAGCAUGAAGGUUCUGGAAAGGGACCUUGAGCCACGCUGAGUAGGCACUACUAAGCGUCGGUCGUUAAUCGAUUGCAGAUUGUGUGAGGGAACGUAAGCCUUCAGGAGAGUGUUGAGGACCAUUCUUAGAUGAAUACACAGUGGGAGUGCUUGGGAGGGAUGCUAGGUGAUUUACUCUUUCAAGCAGAUGGCCGCAGAGGGAGAAGACUAAGAAUGGACUACAUUGACUCUAAAAUGCUGAAUAAGAGGCUGCCACAUGCUGCCUAUUUGUUCUGCA